Schistosoma haematobium is the source of this 45-nucleotide non-coding RNA. Lineage: Eukaryota; Metazoa; Platyhelminthes; Trematoda; Strigeidida; Schistosomatidae. The record is from Rfam.
AUCCAGCUAACCAAUCCUAAAUAGGACGAAACGCGUGUCCUGGAU